Molecule: long non-coding RNA, 8148 nt
Filed under: Nicotiana tabacum (common tobacco)
Lineage: Eukaryota; Viridiplantae; Streptophyta; Magnoliopsida; Solanales; Solanaceae
Description: long non-coding RNA (NTAB_LNC002312)
Source: RNAcentral
ACAAAGCUGGUAUGAAGUAAUACAUCAUAUGUUUGAAAAGUACAUAACAGAGUUUUAUGAAUCUAAGGCUACCAUAAACAAGAGGCAGCUACAAUCGGAAAGCAGGUACAUCUUCAGAUCCAGCUCCCAACGAACACAACAACAUCAGCAGCCAACAUCUGCACGCAAGGUGCAGAAGUAUAGUAUGAGUACAACCGGCCCCAUGUACUCAAUAAGUAACAAACCUAUCCUGAGGUUAAAAGUAGUGACGAGCUUGUACCAAGGUCAGGUCCAACUCCCAUAAGCAACAACAAUUCAUAACAAUAUAAAGCAAGUAAUAAACGAGUAGCCCAGAUAUAAAACACUCAGCUAAAUCAUGAUUUCUGAAAAUAGCCCUGCCUUUCAAGUACACCAGUGAAAACCCCAAAUCUUUUACCGAAGUUGCCAAAAAUAUGAGUAAGUUGAAAACAGAAAUUUUCCCAAAAUAAAAAUCCUUUCCACAAUAAAUAAGAUGUUUCAUUUUCUUUCCAGAUAGCUAGUGAAAAUGCAUCAUUAUGCCCAUAGGCCAAUAUGUAUGAGAAGUCAUGAAUAACGUGAUGGCGUACAAUAUGAGAAAAAUACAUCUCUAUGUAUGUAUGUCAUGUGUGCAUGUCAAUGCGAUGCAAAUCAGUGAUAAAGACCAUAUGCAUCCUCUCAGAGUAUCAAUUCACUCAGUCCUCCCAAUCAUCAGUCCUCACAGUUACGCAGUCCUCCCAAUCACUCGGCACUCACACUCAGUAGGUACUUGCGCUCACUAGGGGUGUGUACAAACUCCGAAUGGGCUCCUUCAGCCCAAGCGCUAUAAUCUACACAGACAACUCACGUGCUAUAGUAUCAAUAUCUGUAUCAGCACGGAUAAUUCACGUGUUGCACGGACAACCCACAUGCUAUAGUAUCAAUAUCUGUAUCCGUACGGACAACUCACGUGCUAUAAUAAAGCCUAUAAGGCCUGUUGUAGGCGGGCAACCCUGAUCCACAUAAUAAUAAAGUAUAUAAAGCCAAUAUGGUCUGCUGUGGCAUGCAACCCGAUCCCAUAAUUAUCCUCACAAUCAGACCCUCGGCCUCACUCAGUCAUCAAUCUUUUCAGUCUUUCGGGCUCACAGUGUCGUGCAACUAGCCCAAAAUGAUGAUACGAUGAAUCAAUAAGUAGCAAUAGAGACUGAGAAAUGAUAUAAAAUGAAUGAACAUGACUGAGUAUAAAAUUUCAUUUAAAACAAAUAAUUCAACAACAAUAUGACCCUUGUGGGUCUCAAUAAUACUGGAACAUAGCCUAGCAUGAUUUUUAAUAUGAUUCUCAGCUCAAUUUCUUUAACACAUAAAACUACACAGAGAAUGCCAAGUUUAUUUGACUACAAAAUUUCACGGAACCAAUUACGUCGCAAUUUUUAUAGUGCACGCCCACACGCCCGUCACCUAGCAUGUGUAUCACCUCCAAACAAUUCGCAUAAUACGUAUAUUCAGGGUUGAUACUCUCAGCUCCAAGAUUAGAAGAGUUACUUACCUCGAACACGAUGAAUCCAAAGUCGAGAAAGCUAAACAAUGCUCCAGAAGUCCCAUUCUGCGCAUAUCAACUUCCGAAUGGCUCUAAUCUAGCUAUAAUUAAUUUGGUUCAGUCAACACAAAUUAUAGGAAUUAAUUCCAUAUCAAAAUAAUAAAUUUUUCACAAAAUCCGAAAUUCCAUAUCUUAUGCCGAAACACAACAAAUCAACCCAGAAUGACUUCAAAUUUUGCACAUUUCAAAUUUUGCACAUUUCCAGAAUCGAAUUUUGACCUCGAUAUCAAAAAGUCAACUCCCCGGUCAAACUUCCCAAAAAUUCGACUUUCGCCAUUUCAAGCCUAAUUCCACUACGGACUUCUAAAAAAUUUUCUGGGCACGUUCCUAAGUCCAAAAUCACCAUACAGAGCUAUUGAAAUUAUCAGAAUUCAAAUCUGAGAUGGUUUACACAUAAGUCAACAUCCGGUCGACUUUUCCAACUUAAGUUUAAAAUUACGAGACUAAAUAUCUCAUUUCACUUAAAAAUCUCUCCGGACCCGAACUAGCUAAUUUGAUAGGUUAUAAUACCGCUAUAAAGUACAAAUAGAGCAGGAAUGGGGGAACGGGGUUGUAAUACUCAAAACGCCCGGCCGAGUCAUUAUACCUUGUGUUGAGUCCCCAAAGUCAAAUGCACGUGAUGCAAACAAGCGUACCUACUAGGGAUCCGGCAUAAGGCUUUGUUCUUCUAGGUUUAAAUCUUAGGGUGUGUUGUUCUAGACCUGGCUUACCCGAGCCGAGGAAGGGGGGCAACGUAUCGGGAAUACAAAAGCUUCAUCGGCUUUGCAACUUGUCUGAUUCCUCUCGGGUAAGCCAUCAUCAUCAUCUUCUUCGUCAACUUUUCGUCAUCAUCAUCAUCUUCUUCUUCGUCAUCAACAUCUUCAUCAUUAUCCGCCUCCUCACCAUACUGAUCAUCGACAUGCCUUGAAUAAGACGUAUCGCAAACAAGAAGCUUCUGGCGAUUGGAUGACCCAUAACCCCGAUUCAUGCCAUACGGGCUGGGAGGAUAUAUCCCAUUAUCCUCAUUGUCAUCCAUCUAAGCACAAGAAACCAAGUGACUACUAAUACCGCAUACUACUAUCUACCCUCUUAUUAGAGAGAGUCCAAUAUAAAAUUCCAAAUUCUAAGCACAAUGUUUCCUUUAUCAAAACCAACCCAUUUUAACUCCAAAUUAACAUUUCAUUCCUAACAACUAGAUGAUAAAUUUCUCCCACAUUACAUCACAAAAACCUCAUUCAAAAAACUAAUCUCAAAUACAAGCAAAACAAAUUAUUCAAAUCAUGAAAAUAUGCCUACAACAACCCAAAAUCAAUACAAGAACUUAUAUUUUCAAGGAAUUAGAUACACUAAAAAGCAAAACCCUUUAAUCCCUUCACCUCAAAAAGGGGAACUUUGUGCUUGAAUUGCCUUAAAGUUUGAAACUUAAUCUAAACCCUUAAAACCCCAAUAUCCAUUGAAAAAACAAGAACAACUCAUUUUCAUCGGAUUAAGUUUCAAUUAAGAAAUAGCCUUUAACCCGUUUACCUCAAAAAGGACUUAAAGUUGGGAACUUUGAGCAAAAUCAAUCACCUUAAUAACAACCAAAAUCAAUCUAAAAAACAAGAAUAUCUCAUUUUCAGAUUAUUAAGUUCCAAUAAAACAUACCCUUUAACUCAUUUACCUCAAAAAAGAGAAUUUUGUGCUUGAAUUGCCUUUAAGUUUGAAACUUUGAGCAAAAUCAAACAUCUAGCACCAACAAAAUACAAGAAAAUCAAACAAAAUCUUAAGAAUCUUGGAGAAAUCUGAGGUUGUAAAAGGAUUCAAAGGUUGUAUCAAAAUUGAAAAGUACUUAUUGAGUAAUUUUCAAGAUUUCUAGGGUUUAUAUUUUGGGGCAGUAAAUAUGAAAAAGUAGAGAAAGUUUAUCCCCAUAUGAUCUGAGGACACAAAAAUCAGCUGGGAGUGGAACAACCAAAGUAGCUAAAGUAUGCCGAGUGUGAACCUUUUUCGAGUUCGGAACCAAAAUGUGGUUCUUUUGGACUAAAAGAAUCAAAAUGUGUGGAAAAAAUGACCAGUGGCCAUAAUAUAUAUUACACUCUUUUAAAGGGCGCUAUACCUUAACGGUCGUUUACCCAGUUAAGUAUAGCGCCCUUUUAAAAGGCGCUAUAUAUAUAAAGCCCUUUUAAAAGGCGCUAUAUAUAUAUAUUAUGUGGGCCUACCAAUAAUUCUUCUGGGCUUAACUGACAUAACAAUAAUUCAACUGGGUAUAGCACACAUAUUUAAGGUGCUAUACCUCAAAUAAUUAUACCCCUAAACUGAUUUUUGCCUUAUUUAAGGAGGUUAAGGAUUUUGUAAAAAUCCAUUCAUAAAUAUUUUCAGGUCUUCUGAACUAUUUCUUAGUUAAAUUAUUUUGCAUUUUGUCAUAAUGUCUGAAGAGAGAAGAAUCGGGGUUUCAUUAUAUCGGGUCUCCGUGCCCGUCGUAUUUUUCAAAUUUCGGCAUCUUAAAGCCAGCUAGCAAGUGCACAUGAGGAAACAUGCACAGGUUAGAGUAGGAGACACUCUUUUGGCCGCUUGGGCCUUUCAUGUUUUUCAAGCUUUGUUCCAGGCUCUUCAUAUUUCGAGCCACUUCCUCUUGCUCGGGAUUCUUGACAACCUUUUCUUGCUCAACCGAGAAGUCAUAUUGCGGAGGUUGAGUAAAUGAGUAUGGGAUCACAUAUGUUAUUUCUGGUUGAAACUGUGGACCCUGAAAGGUGAACGUUGGAGGCUCAACAUACGACUGUAGUAUAGUUGGUUGUGUUGUGGUGCAGACUGGUGCUGCAGAGAACAUUGUUGGCGGUGCCUUUGAAACCUUUUCUUUUUCUUUUUUUUUUUGCCAGAGUUUCGGGGUUUUCAAAUACCUCAAUUUUUCAGAAACCGGGUAAAUUUUCUCUAUUCGCCCUCACCCUUGCUUUUUCUUGAUUUUCUUUCCCUAUUCUAGAAGUCGGUCAACAUGCAAGCCGAAACAAAAAUAUACACAAGUAGCACAUAAAAUGCAUUAGGAUGGUCUUUUUAUAUUGGGUACACAUGUCCUAGACGGACCCAACCUCUGUGUUGAGUCCCCAAAGUCAAAUGCACGUGAUGCAAACAAGCGUACCUACUAGGGAUCCGACAUGAGGCUUUGUUCAUCUAGGUUUAAAUUUUGGGAUGUGUUGUUCUAGACCUGGCUUAUCCGAGCGGACAACCCGAGCCAGGGGAGGGGGGCAACAUACCUGGAAUACAAAAGCUUCACCGACUUUGCAACUUGUCCGAUCCUCAUUCUAAAAUUAGGGGUAUGACUCUAACAAAAAAGAAACCACGCGAAGCACACGCUUCCGAGAAGAUUUAGUAGACUUAUAGAGAAUAAGGGUGUCAUAACAGUUUUAUAUACAGUUCACAGAAUAUCCAAGCGGUAAAUGAGUGGCAAUUAGCACAUUAGGCCCAAACAUGUAAUAUCAGACAAUCACAAGAAAGCCAAGCAUAACAUUUAUUAUAAGCUCGAAUUCUGAAUCCUAAACCAGAAGUUUUGGGUUCUUGUCCCCAGCAGAGUCGCUAGAGCUGUCACACCUUCCUUUUUUUGGAAAGGAUAGGGAAGUUUUUUCAAUUAAAGUGACACUAUUCGAAAUAAAAUUAUUUAUUUAAUUAGAGUCGCCACUUGGAAUAAUUAUUAUGGAGUCCCAAGACACCAGUUUAUUUUAAAAUCCCAAAUCGAGGAAAUUGACUCUAUUUAUGGUCUGCGAGCACAAAAGACUGGGUAAAGAAUUUUAUUAACCCGGGAGAAUGUGUGAGGCACUCCUGAGUUCUGUGAUUUUAGUACAGUCGCUUAACAAUUAAUACUUGGCCUAAUUAUCUGAUUUAUUACCUGUUUUAAACUUAUUGUGCAUUUUACCUUUGAUCGCUUUUAAUUAUGUAUUUAAACCACAUUUUAGUAUUUAUGGAGUUAUUUAUUGAACAAGUUACGAUGUUGUACACUUGUCGUUUGGGUACACAUUGCAAACCGCGCCACGUGAAACGCACCGCGAUUCACAACAUGUUUAUUAUUAUUAUUAUUAUUAUUAUUAUUAUUAUUAUUAUUAUUAUUAUUAUUAUUAUUAUUAUUAUUAUUAUUAUUAUUAUUAUUAUUACUAUUACUGAAGUUAUAGUCGAGUCGCAUAAAAUGCACACCCAAAUUGAAGAAUUAUGUAUCACGACUAUGCCACAGGAACCGUACCCAUAGUUGUGAUGAUUUAUUUACGCGUCUAAAGAAAACUACGAUAUUUAUGAAUUAUUUUCCUAAACUACCUUUGAGAUUUGUUGUAAGGUUUUGGCGUAUGGAAACGUUUGGGCAUGGAAUGUGUAAUCUAAUUACUUAAACCUUUGUUGGAUUGAUGUACGACUACAUCAUUAUGGGCUUGAACUUAUGUGACUCCAAAUGUUAAGACUAAGCCAAUGCAGGGAAGGGGUCUAUAUUUGGAAUCAAUCUGAUUUUACCAAGUCAUUAAGGCUCUUUAGAUGAUCACUAUAGGUGGUAUUUUGAGGGAGCUAAAGCAAUGAGCCUUAAUAAGGGUUCGAAUCGCGAUACCAUUGGCCCUGCUAUGGUAGCUUGUUCACACUCUAAUUGAUUCAUAACAAUGAAUUACAAACUUAAUCGAUUCAUAAACAAAUGACUUACAUAAUCAUGAGAAAAUAAAAUGAGAUCAAUUUUAAUCAUGAGAAAUAAAAAUGAUAUUAAUUUUUGAAUAACUUACAAAAUCAAUACCCAUUGAUUUUAUCUUUACAUGUAUAACCCGUUACAAUGGUAAUCAUCUCUGGGCAUUACAGUGACAUCCACUUUAAUCACAAUUUUCGAUAAUGGUAAUGGACAUGAAUGCUUUCUAAUGUAUAUGGAAGUCAUUUACAAUAAUAGCUAAACCAAAACAGGAUAUGAUUAAUCUUUAGUUUAAACUUCUUUCCAACAGUGACUUCAAGUCCACUCCUUAACUUUAGAGUUUACUAAUCUCACCAACUAGUGGUCAGAUCUGCAAACUACAGCCCUAUGAUCAGUAGCAACAGCUCUUUACAUCCUCAAAUUAACAAAAAUUCACAUAUUUCAUACACAGAACACUAUAGUAGAGCUUCUGUUUGAACUACUGCCAAAUCUGCAUGAUUUAAACAAAAACUUCAACCUUAUUCAAAACUAAAAGGGUUUAGCAAUUGAUGCCACAUGCUUAAAUGACCAUAGAUAUCAAAUUGACCCAUAUAAUUGAUCUACUUCAUUGUUUCCAACCCAGAUUGAAGUGAAAUGCGCAUUUAAACUUCACAUAAGAUAACAACAAACAAAUGCUCAUAAAUCAAACAAGAAUAGCAACAUUUCUGGUCAUUCGAUAAAAAUAUAAUACAUAGAAAAUUUGGCACUAACCUAGUUGAACAGGAAAACAUUAAAAGAUAAUCCAAAGAAGAGUCGAAUCUGAUCCAAAUUAGAAACUCAACAAUAACUUUAGGAGUAGAACCAAGGUUCCAGCAGUCAAUCAAACUUGUAAAAUCGAAAGAAAUGAAGCAAAAAAACAAAAACAAAGAAAAGUUUGGAAUUCCUUUUUUUCUUCUAUAUUUAAACUGAGUUUUCAGGGUGUCUUCUUUUUGAAAAAAUCAGUGAGGAAAAGGGAAUGUAUCAGUAAUUUCUGCAUGGAAUUUAGUGUGUGUGAGUGAGGGAAUGUGAGGUCUUGUAUAGAAAAAAGAAGAGGGAAUAAUCUGAGGAGUGUGCAGUCCCUAAAAAUAAGGAAAAUAGCAUCUUUUCUUAACAGAUUUGGACAACUGUCCUAUUUUAGCAUCUUUUUCCUAACAAUUGUCCUUUUUUUUCUUUUUAUUUUUUAGCAUCUCUUUUUCCUUCUAGAAACAUCUCAAAGACUCUCCUAAGUUUCCUAUUUCAAAUUACUCCCUCAAACUUCUAGUAUUUACAAACAAGCUAGAAAGAUCAGAUGGAUAGGUAAAACAGAGAAAUAUGCCGAUUAUCCUACCAAACAACUCAACAAACAACUUGCUUCAAUUGCUUAAAUUAAUCCAAAAUGAAUUAUCCUAACAAACUCAUACAAUUAAAAUACUUAACAUGCAAUUGAACUACUAAAAAUUAUCCUAACGAUUCAGGUAAUUAAACUAUCUAACACAUGCAAUUAACUAAUAACCUAAAUAAUGAACAUUUAAAAUAGUAAUUACUAUUAAGUGCAAGACUAACAAUUAAUUAAACUAAACGAGAAAGAAAAUGAUUACCUUGAAGAGUGUGAAAAAUUUGGAACUUUGACUGGUCGAGAACAAAUUGGCCGGACUCCGGUGCCUUCGACACGAACUAAAAUCAACAUCAAUCGAUUGCUCCCAUUGAGAACAAUCGAUUAAUGUAAAUUUCAUAUUGAAUCGAAUCUUGAAAUCUUGGAGAAUAAAAAAGAAAGAACCUAGGGUUUCUAGGGGUUUUUGAAUUUGAAAUUCAAAAGAUUUGGUGGGGUUUUUGGGGAAAACAAUGGUAGAUUAGGGUUAAGGGUAAGAUGAGGAUUGCAGGUGAAUAUUUGUGGUUGUUUGGAGCUUGCCCGCCGGUCAAAAUGGAGUUGUGGGUAUUAGGCGGCUCAGGGUUAGAGAGAUUUGGGAGAGAUGGGAGAAUGAGG